CGGAACCCUUCGGGGUUUAGUGGCGGACGGGUGAGUAACGCGUGAGGAUCUGCCUUCAGGACGGGGACAACAGUUGGAAACGACUGCUAAGACCCGAUGUGCCGAGAGGUGAAAUUAAUUUAGCCUGAAGAUGAACUCGCGUCGGAUUAGCUAGUUGGAGUGGUAACGGCACACCAAGGCGACGAUCCGUAGCUGGUCUGAGAGGAUGACCAGCCACACUGGGACUGAGACACGGCCCAGACUCCUACGGGAGGCAGCAGUGGGGAAUUUUCCGCAAUGGGCGAAAGCCUGACGGAGCAAGACCGCGUGGGGGAGGAAGGUCUGUGGAUUGUAAACCCCUUUUGUCAGGGAAGAAUCAAAUGACGGUACCUGACGAAUCAGCCUCGGCUAACUCCGUGCCAGCAGCCGCGGUAAUACGGAGGAGGCAAGCGUUAUCCGGAAUUAUUGGGCGUAAAGCGUCCGCAGGUGGUUAUACAAGUCUGCUGUCAAAGCGCGAGGCUCAACUUCGUACCGGCAGUGGAAACUGUAGGACUAGAGAAUGAUAGGGGCAGAGGGAAUUCCCAGUGUAGCGGUGAAAUGCGUAGAGAUUGGGAAGAACACCGGUGGCGAAAGCGCUCUGCUGGGUCAUAUCUGACACUGAGGGACGAAAGCUAGGGGAGCGAAAGGGAUUAGAUACCCCUGUAGUC
Molecule: ribosomal RNA, 686 nt
Filed under: uncultured cyanobacterium
Lineage: Bacteria; Bacillati; Cyanobacteriota
Description: bacterial SSU rRNA
Rfam family: Bacterial small subunit ribosomal RNA
Source: RNAcentral